UACAGAGGGUGCGAGCGUUGUCCGGAAUUAUUGGGCGUAAAGGGCGCGUAGGCGGCUUGGCAAGUGGAAGGUGAAAUCCCUCGGCUUAACCGAGGAACUGCCCUCCAAACUGCUUCGCUUGAGACCGGGAGAGGUGAGUGGAAUUCCCAGUGUAGCGGUGAAAUGCGUAGAUAUUGGGAGGAACACCAGUGGCGAAGGCGGCUCACUGGACCGGUACUGACGCUGAUGCGCGAAAGCGUGGGGAGCAAGCGGG
This 253-nucleotide ribosomal RNA is filed under the name uncultured bacterium. Its description in RNAcentral is "partial 16S ribosomal RNA". It matches the Rfam family "Bacterial small subunit ribosomal RNA", at positions 524 to 776 of the family's 1533-position model. The record is from RNAcentral.